RNAcentral lists this ribosomal RNA (254 nucleotides) under uncultured bacterium. Its description in RNAcentral is "partial 16S ribosomal RNA". It matches the Rfam family "Bacterial small subunit ribosomal RNA", at positions 524 to 776 of the family's 1533-position model. The record is from RNAcentral.
GACGUAGGGGGCGAGCGUUGUCCGGAUUUAUUGGGCGUAAAGAGCUCGUAGGCGGCUCAGCAAGUCGGGUGUGAAACCUCCAGGCUCAACCUGGAGACGCCACCUGAUACUGCUGUGGCUAGAGUCCGGUAGGGGAACACGGAAUACCCGGUGUAGCGGUGAAAUGCUUAGAUAUCGGGUGGAACACCAGUGGCGAAGGCGGUGUUCUGGGCCGGAACUGACGCUGAGGAGCGAAAGCGUGGGUAGCAAACAGG